Molecule: ribosomal RNA, 449 nt
Filed under: uncultured bacterium
Lineage: Bacteria
Description: bacterial SSU rRNA
Rfam family: Bacterial small subunit ribosomal RNA
Source: RNAcentral
ACUCCAUACGGGAGGCAGCAGUGGGGAAUCUUAGACAAUGGGGGCAACCCUGAUCUAGCCAUGCCGCGUGAGUGAUGAAGGCCCUAGGGUUGUAAAGCUCUUUCAGUCGUGAAGAUAAUGACGGUAGCGACAGAAGAAGCCCCGGCUAACUCCGUGCCAGCAGCCGCGGUAAUACGGAGGGGGCUAGCGUUGUUCGGAAUUACUGGGCGUAAAGCGCGCGUAGGCGGACCGGAAAGUUGGGGGUGAAAUCCCGGGGCUCAACCCCGGAACGGCCUCCAAAACUAUCGGUCUGGAGUUCGAGGAGGUGAGUGGAAUUCCGAGUGUAGAGGUGAAAUUCGUAGAUAUUCGGAGGAACACCAGUGGCGAAGGCGGCUCACUGGCUCGAUACUGACGCUGAGGUGCGAAAGCGUGGGGGAGCAAACAGGAUUAGAUACCCUGGUAGGUCAGUC